RNAcentral lists this small RNA (435 nucleotides) under Pongo abelii (Sumatran orangutan). RNAcentral describes it as "retained intron". Lineage: Eukaryota; Metazoa; Chordata; Mammalia; Primates; Hominidae. The record is from RNAcentral.
UAAUAAACAGUGAAAUUUACUGGCCAAAUGGACUGACUUUGGAUUAUGAAGAACAAAAGCUUUAUUGGGCAGAUGCAAAACUUAAUUUCAUCCACAAAUCAAAUCUGGAUGGAACAAAUCGGCAGGCAGUGGUUAAAGGUUCCCUUCCACAUCCUUUUGCCUUGACGUUAUUUGAGGACAUAUUAUACUGGACUGACUGGAGCACACACUCCAUUUUGGCUUGCAACAAGUAUACUGGUGAGGGUCUGCGUGAAAUCCAUUCUAACAUCUUCUCUCCCAUGGAUAUACAUGCCUUCAGCCAACAGAGGCAGCCAAAUGGUAAGUGAUCCUUGAUUUUUAAAUUGCAAGUGGGAACAGCUUUGUAGCACUCUAAUGUCUGGCUUUAGUGAGGAUCAGGAGGAGGGAGGGCAUAUCCAAAGAUAGUUGGCGGGAAUA